AAAUUGAAGAGUUUGAUCAUGGCUCAGAUUGAACGCUGGCGGCAGGCCUAACACAUGCAAGUCGAACGGUAACAGGAAGAAGCUUGCUUCUUUGCUGACGAGUGGCGGACGGGUGAGUAAUGUCUGGGAAACUGCCUGAUGGAGGGGGAUAACUA
This 155-nucleotide ribosomal RNA is filed under the name Escherichia coli. RNAcentral describes it as "partial 16S ribosomal RNA". It matches the Rfam family "Bacterial small subunit ribosomal RNA", at positions 1 to 149 of the family's 1533-position model. Lineage: Bacteria; Pseudomonadati; Pseudomonadota; Gammaproteobacteria; Enterobacterales; Enterobacteriaceae. The record is from RNAcentral.